UACGGAGGUGGCAAGUGUUACUCGGAAUUACUGGGGGUAAAGGGCAAGUAGGCGGUUUAAUAAGCGAGGGGUGAAAUCUUCCGACUUAAUCGGAAAACUGCCUUUCGAACUGUUAGACUUGAGGCAAGCAGAGGGAAAUGGAAUUCCCGGUGUAAGGGUGAAAUCUGUAGAUAUCGGGAAGAACACCAACGGCGAAGGCAAUUUCCUGGGCUUGUCCUGACGCUAAACUGCGAAAGCUAGGGUAGCAAACAGAAUUAGAUACUCUGGUAGUCCUAGCCGUAAACGAUGAGUACUAGGUGUCGGACCGCAAGGUUCGGUGCCGCAGCUAACGCAUUAAGUACUCCACCUGGGGACUACGGUCGCAAGGCUAAA
RNAcentral lists this ribosomal RNA (372 nucleotides) under uncultured bacterium. RNAcentral describes it as "bacterial SSU rRNA". It matches the Rfam family "Bacterial small subunit ribosomal RNA", at positions 524 to 898 of the family's 1533-position model. The record is from RNAcentral.